AGCAGCCGCGGUAAUUCCAGCUCCAAUAGCGUAUAUUAAAGUUGUUGCAGUUAAAAAGCUCGUAGUUGAAUUUCGGGAUCAAUAUGUUGGUCGUGCCUUUGGUACGUACUAGCUCAUUGAUUUCUCCCUUCUGACGAACCAUGAUGUCAUUAAUUUGGUGUCAUGGGGAAUCAGGACUGUUACUUUGAGAAAAUUAGAGUGUUUAAAGCAGGCUUACGCUUGAAUAUAUUAGCAUGGAAUAAUGAAAUAGGACGUUUUGAUUCUAUUUUGUUGGUUUCUAGGAUCGACGUAAUGAUUAAUAGGGAUAGUUGGGGGCAUUAGUAUUCAAUUGUCAGAGGUGAAAUUCUUGGAUUUAUUGAAGACUAACCACUGCGAAAGCAUUUGCCAAGGAUGUUUUCAUUAAUCAAGAACGAAAGUUAGGGGAUCGAAGACGAUCAGAUACCGUCGUAGUCUUAACCAUAAACUAUGCCGACUAGGG
This 478-nucleotide ribosomal RNA is filed under the name uncultured Glomus. Its description in RNAcentral is "SSU rRNA". It matches the Rfam family "Eukaryotic small subunit ribosomal RNA", at positions 569 to 1051 of the family's 1831-position model. The record is from RNAcentral. Lineage: Eukaryota; Fungi; Glomeromycota; Glomeromycetes; Glomerales; Glomeraceae.